AGAGUACGUGAAACCGUUCAGGGGUAAACCUGAGAAACCCGAAAGGUCGAAAGGGGAGAUUCAGCGUGUCUCGAUUGCGGCGCUGGAUGGUCGUGCGACGGAAGACGUACGCGUCAUCCGCACCUUCCGUCCUCCGAACCGUAGUCGAACGCGUGCACUUCUCCCCCUGUAGGACGUCGCGAUCCGUUGGGUGCCGGUCUAAGGCCCGCAGUGGAGCCCGUUCGGACGGUUCACCGUUCCGGACGAACCUGCGGUGUUUCCCGGUCGGCUCGCUCGACGGUAUACAGAUGGCGCGGGGCCGCUACAUUAGUUAGCGUCCGACCGGCGGCAAGCGCGCUCGUCGUGACGGUGAUCGGACCUGGUGCCGGUCCUGUCCCCGAGUGGCUGUUCGCUGCCGUGUUCUCGGACAGACCUCGUCGAAACGCCGAUCUGCGACGCUAUAGCUUUGGGUACUUUCAGGACCCGUCUUG
RNAcentral lists this ribosomal RNA (470 nucleotides) under Stenomorpha sp. n. 2 ADS-2012. RNAcentral's name for it is "eukaryotic LSU rRNA". The record is from RNAcentral. Lineage: Eukaryota; Metazoa; Arthropoda; Insecta; Coleoptera; Tenebrionidae.